Ananas comosus (pineapple) is the source of this 936-nucleotide long non-coding RNA. RefSeq lists it as uncharacterized. The transcript is spliced from 4 exons. Lineage: Eukaryota; Viridiplantae; Streptophyta; Magnoliopsida; Poales; Bromeliaceae. The record is from RefSeq and is a predicted model, not a curated record.
ACAGCCGGGUCCGGAGUUGACAAGAACACAAAGAUUUCAUUUCUCGCUGCUUCCUCUGGUUAACGAGUAAUCUGGAUGUAGUGGUGCUCUCCAAAGCUAAUGUUUGUUGAUGCAGAACUGGCCUGUCCCUAUGUCAGUAUGUUGAUGAGUUUAAAUUGGUUGAUUUCAUCGCCUUUUAAAUCAGAUUAGAUCAGGCUUCAACUUGAUGCUGGAAGCUAUUAGAAAAAGAUAAUCCAAGAUCAAAAGCCUUCAACACUACUGGGCCUUUGUUGCAGAAGGUGGAAGUGACAGAACUACUUGAAAUUACAUAAGAAAUCAUGGGCUUUAAAUUGAUUUCCAUUAUGAGGGAUGCAUGGACAGAGAAGUCCUAGAUCUAUACCAUCCGUUCGGCGCACAUUUUCUUCAAGACUUCUUGCUAGAGGUUCAUGGCGGAGCAUAUAUUUCCAAAUUUGUGAGCAAGUGCAUUUGAGAUAACUGGGGGAAGAACAUUGUGCAAGAAAUCUCUAACGGCAGAUCAAACCACGUGACUAACAGCAAAUCUCCUCAAACAGAGUGAAGAUGCAAGAACGGAAUAAAUGGGAAGUAUAAUUAAAAAGGAAAGAAUCAAUAUGGGCCUCAUUUGUGGUAUCAGCUCCAGUAGCUCCUGCUACAACUCAAGUCAAACAUUAACUAUAAGUUUGAUGCAAAAGUUAAUCCAAAAAAGAAAUAUCAUUAGGCUAGGAAUCACUACUGUCCUUUUCAGUUUAUAAAGCCUUGCUGAGAAAAAGUAAUGGAAGGUUGUGUUUACCUCACAAGACUCAGAAGAUUAGAAUUUUAUUCAUUGGCAAUAGGCAACAGAUCUGCGAGUGGUAUCUCACUUGUUUUGAAGAUGUUUGGACCAUUGGUGGAAAGUUUAAGGUGAUUACAUAAUGAAAUAUCUGCAAUUGGUGUGUAUAU